UUUUCCUUUUUGUUUCAAUGUAAUAAACCAUAUUUAAUCAUUAGUACUUUGCUUGAAGUUUUCUCUUGUGCCAAAGAAGACAAGUACCUCUAAAGUUUGAACGCUUCUACCAAGAAGCACAGACUGUCGUUGAUAUAUAUUUAAAUUACGACUGUGAAUUCGCUUUGUCGAAUAUCUUUCAAAGAUUGAUCAAUGAUUUGUCUAAAGUUGCCCAAGGACGUCAAGCUCUAUUGAAUUAGGAGCGACACCAGUUCAAGAACGCAGUAUUCGUAUCAAAGGUCUGGUAUC
Long non-coding RNA from Xenia sp. Carnegie-2017, 288 nucleotides. RefSeq lists it as uncharacterized. The record is from RefSeq and is a predicted model, not a curated record. The transcript is spliced from 3 exons. Lineage: Eukaryota; Metazoa; Cnidaria; Anthozoa; Malacalcyonacea; Xeniidae.